This 650-nucleotide ribosomal RNA is filed under the name uncultured marine bacterium. RNAcentral's name for it is "bacterial SSU rRNA". It matches the Rfam family "Bacterial small subunit ribosomal RNA", at positions 74 to 720 of the family's 1533-position model. The record is from RNAcentral.
AUUCCUUCGGGAAUGAGUAGAGUGGCGGACGGGUGAGUAACGCGUGGGAAUCUACCUGGUAGCGGGGGAUAACUCGGGGAAACUCGAGCUAAUACCGCAUACGCCCUACGGGGGAAAGGAGGGGAUCUUCGGACCUUUCACUAUCAGAUGAGCCCGCGUUAGAUUAGCUUGUUGGUGAGGUAAUGGCUCACCAAGGCGACGAUCUAUAGCUGGUCUGAGAGGAUGAUCAGCCACACUGGGACUGAGACACGGCCCAGACUCCUACGGGAGGCAGCAGUGGGGAAUAUUGCGCAAUGGGCGAAAGCCUGACGCAGCCAUGCCGCGUGUGUGAAGAAGGCCUUCGGGUUGUAAAGCACUUUCAAUAGGGAGGAAAACUUGUAGGUUAAUACCCUGCAAGCCUGACGUUACCUAUAGAAGAAGCACCGGCUAACUCCGUGCCAGCAGCCGCGGUAAUACGGAGGGUGCGAGCGUUAAUCGGAAUUACUGGGCGUAAAGCGCGCGUAGGCGGCUUCGUCAGUCAGAUGUGAAAGCCCCGGGCUCAACCUGGGAACUGCAUUUGAUACUGCGGAGCUAGAGUAUGGUAGAGGAUAGUGGAAUUCCAGGUGUAGCGGUGAAAUGCGUAGAUAUCUGGAGGAACAUCAGUGGCGAAG